This 321-nucleotide ribosomal RNA is filed under the name uncultured bacterium. Its description in RNAcentral is "bacterial SSU rRNA". It matches the Rfam family "Bacterial small subunit ribosomal RNA", at positions 154 to 507 of the family's 1533-position model. The record is from RNAcentral.
AAACUGCUGCUAAUACCGCAUGAUACCUGAGGGUCAAAGGCGCAAGUCGCCUUAGGAGGAGCCUGCGUCUGAUUAGCUUGUUGGUGGGGUAAAGGCCUACCAAGGCGACGAUCAGUAGCUGGUCUGAGAGGAUGAUCAGCCACAUUGGGACUGAGACACGGCCCAAACUCCUACGGGAGGCAGCAGUGGGGAAUAUUGGACAAUGGGCGCAAGCCUGAUCCAGCAAUGCCGCGUGGGUGAAGAAGGUCUUCGGAUUGUAAAGCCCUUUUGGCGGGGACGAUGAUGACGGUACCCGCAGAAUAAGCUCCGGCUAACUUCGUG